CGGGCAUUCCAGGCGGAAUACUGACGGAGCACGCCGCGUGAGUGAUGAAGGGCUUCGGAUCGUAAAACUCUGUUGUUAGGGAAGAACAAAUGUGUAAGUAACUGUUCACGUCUUGACGGUACCUAAUCAGAAAGCCACGGCUAACUACGUGCCAGCAGCCGCGGUAAUAA
This 170-nucleotide ribosomal RNA is filed under the name uncultured bacterium. RNAcentral's name for it is "partial 16S ribosomal RNA". It matches the Rfam family "Bacterial small subunit ribosomal RNA", at positions 356 to 526 of the family's 1533-position model. The record is from RNAcentral.